UGCGCAGGCGGUUCUGUAAGUCAGAUGUGAAAUCCCCGGGCUCAACCUGGGAACUGCGUUUGAAACUACAGGACUAGAGUAUGGCAGAGGGGGGUAGAAUUCCACGUGUAGCAGUGAAAUGCGUAGAGAUGUGGAGGAAUACCAAUGGCGAAGGCAGCCCCCUGGGUCAAUACUGACGCUCAUGCACGAAAGCGUGGGGAGCAAACAGGAUUAGAUACCCUGGUAGUCCACGCCCUAAACGAUGUCUACUAGUUGUUGGGAGAGUAAAAUCUCUUAGUAACGCAGCUAACGCGUGAAGUAGACCGCCUGGGGAGUACGGUCGCAAGAUUAAA
This 332-nucleotide ribosomal RNA is filed under the name uncultured methylotrophic bacterium. Its description in RNAcentral is "bacterial SSU rRNA". It matches the Rfam family "Bacterial small subunit ribosomal RNA", at positions 568 to 898 of the family's 1533-position model. The record is from RNAcentral.